This 376-nucleotide ribosomal RNA is filed under the name Leptodactylus validus. RNAcentral's name for it is "partial 12S ribosomal RNA". The record is from RNAcentral. Lineage: Eukaryota; Metazoa; Chordata; Amphibia; Anura; Leptodactylidae.
AAAAUCAACUACUACUUAACUUACACAUGCAAGUAUCAGCACCCCUGUGAGAACGCCCUUUAACUCCUCUAAGGGGUAAGGAGCUGGUAUCAGGCGCACAUACCCCAGCCCAAGACACCUAGCUAUGCCACACCCUCAAGGGAAUUCAGCAGUGAUUAACAUUAAAUAUAAGCGACAGCUUGAUUCAGUUAAAGUAAAAAGAGCCGGCUAAUCUGGUGCCAGCCGCCGCGGUUACACCAUGUGGCUCAAGUUGAUAUUAUUCGGCGUAAAGCGUGAUUUAAGAGAUUUGCCUAUGGUGUUAAAAAUGUACUGAGCUGUGACACGCCUGUUCUUAAGAAACUCAAAAACGAAAGUUACACCAACCGCACUAACUUGA